Molecule: ribosomal RNA, 274 nt
Filed under: uncultured bacterium
Lineage: Bacteria
Description: partial 16S ribosomal RNA
Rfam family: Bacterial small subunit ribosomal RNA
Source: RNAcentral
AUACGAAGGGGGCUAGCGUUGUUCGGAUUUACUGGGCGUAAAGCGCACGUAGGCGGAUUGAUUAGUUAGGGGUGAAAUCCCGAGGCUCAACCUCGGAACUGCCUCUAAAACUGUCAAUCUCGAGACCGGAAGAGGUGAGUGGAACUCCUAGUGUAGAGGUGGAAUUCGUAGAUAUUAGGAAGAACACCAGUGGCGAAGGCGGCUCACUGGUCUGGUACUGACGCUGAGGUGCGAAAGCGUGGGGAGCGAACAGGAUUAGAAACCCCAGUAGUCC